Mesocricetus auratus (golden hamster) is the source of this 138-nucleotide non-coding RNA. NCBI's taxonomy places the organism in Eukaryota, Metazoa, Chordata, Mammalia, Rodentia, Cricetidae. The record is from Ensembl.
UAUGGAAGCUGCAGAACCAACCAUGCAAACAAGUAAAAAACACCUUUUGUCUAAAAAUGACACAAUCCUAUAUAAACAUGGAAAUCUUUGUCUGACUUAGGACAGCUGGGGAAGUCUGGUUGUUCCCCUCCAUGUAAC